GAUCAUGGCUCAGGACGAACGCUGGCGGCGUGCUUAACACAUGCAAGUCGAACGGGAUGAUUUAGAAGCUUGCUUUUAGAGAAUCUAGUGGCAAACGGGUGAGUAACACGUAGGCAACCUGCCGACAGGAUGGGGACAACAUUCCGAAAGGAAUGCUAAUACCGAAUGAAGUCAGAGAAGGGCAUCCUUUUCUGAUGAAAGAUGGCCUCUGAAUAUGCUAUCACCUGUCGA
Molecule: ribosomal RNA, 231 nt
Filed under: uncultured bacterium
Lineage: Bacteria
Description: partial 16S ribosomal RNA
Rfam family: Bacterial small subunit ribosomal RNA
Source: RNAcentral